AUGUCACCACCGAGCGCCACCAGCUCCUCCAGGCUGAGUGGCAAGGCAGGCUGUCACAGAGUGCCCACACAAAGAGCCUCUGCAGGACAGCAGGGUGUCGGCAUGGAGAGGGCAAGGUACAAAGCUGUCUCACAGGCCUGCCAGUUAAACACCCCCCAUGGGGCCAUCGCUGAAGGGCCAGGCCGCGGCUGGAGGGAAAAGCAACCCCAGCACGGUCACCCCAGCCGUGCCGUGAUGCUGGCGACAGUCGCUGCUGGCCAGCACAAGAAGGCACAGCAAGCAACAGGGCUGGCAGGGUCAGGAGACAACAGCAGGAAUGGAAGCACAGGGGCGGAAGGCACGUUAACGGAGACAAUCAGCCAAGGCAACAGAAGAGAGAGAGGGACCUCAUGGAGCAGGACUCCUGGGCAUCUUCCUCAAAUGGCUGUGAAAGACAGGGUGGCCAGCACAGCAGUCCUGUACAUGGGCCACAGCAGAAGGAACCUGGGAAGGCACUGUGGCAAGGUCACGACUGCAGCAGGAAUUGGACGCAACAACUGCUACAUUGCACUGAGCCCCUCCACCAAGACCAGGCAGAUCAAUAGGCUGAAGGCACAUCAGCAGAAGGGGAGGAGAAGAGCACACAGCCUCCUAGCCAAGACUGCAAGUGCCAAGACGUAUCUUGUGUGAAACCCAAACCGGACUGACAGCACAAGGAAAGUGUCUGACUUGUAAAAUCACCAGCUAUUAAGAGCAGGGAACUGCUUGACAUUCAGCUCCCUAAAUAAAUAUAUAUAUAGGUACUUCUAACCCUUCUGC
RNAcentral lists this long non-coding RNA (798 nucleotides) under Cyanistes caeruleus (blue tit). Its description in RNAcentral is "lncRNA (ENSCCEG00000010837.1)". Lineage: Eukaryota; Metazoa; Chordata; Aves; Passeriformes; Paridae. The record is from RNAcentral.